RNAcentral lists this ribosomal RNA (253 nucleotides) under uncultured bacterium. RNAcentral describes it as "partial 16S ribosomal RNA". It matches the Rfam family "Bacterial small subunit ribosomal RNA", at positions 524 to 776 of the family's 1533-position model. The record is from RNAcentral.
UACGUAGGGUGCAAGCGUUGUCCGGAAUUAUUGGGCGUAAAGAGCUCGUAGGCGGUCUGUCACGUCGGCUGUGAAAACCCGGGGCUCAACCCCGGGCCUGCAGUCGAUACGGGCAGACUAGAGUGCGGUAGGGGAGACUGGAAUUCCUGGUGUAGCGGUGAAAUGCGCAGAUAUCAGGAGGAACACCGGUGGCGAAGGCGGGUCUCUGGGCCGUAACUGACGCUGAGGGGCGAAAGCGUGGGGAGCGAACAGG